CGGUGACAGGUGGUGCAUGGUUGUCGUCAGCUCGUGUCGUGAGAUUGUUGGGUUAAGUCCCGCAACGAGCGCAACCCCUAUUGUUAGUUGCCAUCAUUCAGUUGGGCACUCUAGCGAGACUGCCGGUAAUAAACCGGAGGAAGGUGGGGAGUGACGUCAAAUCAUCAUGCCCCUUAUGACCUGGGCUACACACGUGCUACAAUGGUUGGUACAACGAGUUGCGAGUCGGUGACGGCGAGCUAAUCUCUUAAAGCCAAAUCUCAGUUCGGAUUGUAGGCUGCAACUCGCCUACAUGAAGUUCGGAAUCGCUAGUAAUCGCGGAUCAGAACGCCGCGGUGAAUACGUUCUCGGGGUUU
RNAcentral lists this ribosomal RNA (356 nucleotides) under uncultured Streptococcus sp. RNAcentral describes it as "bacterial SSU rRNA". It matches the Rfam family "Bacterial small subunit ribosomal RNA", at positions 1029 to 1382 of the family's 1533-position model. Lineage: Bacteria; Bacillati; Bacillota; Bacilli; Lactobacillales; Streptococcaceae. The record is from RNAcentral.